This 3125-nucleotide ribosomal RNA is filed under the name Streptomyces berlinensis. RNAcentral describes it as "Streptomyces sp. SBE_14.2 23S ribosomal RNA". It matches the Rfam family "Bacterial large subunit ribosomal RNA". Lineage: Bacteria; Bacillati; Actinomycetota; Actinomycetes; Kitasatosporales; Streptomycetaceae. The record is from RNAcentral.
GGCCAAGUUUUUAAGGGCGCACGGUGGAUGCCUUGGCACCAGGAACCGAUGAAGGACGUGGGAGGCCACGAUAGUCCCCGGGGAGUCGUCAACCAGGCUUUGAUCCGGGGGUUUCCGAAUGGGGAAACCCGGCAGUCGUCAUGGGCUGUCACCCAUGCCUGAACACAUAGGGCAUGUGGAGGGAACGCGGGGAAGUGAAACAUCUCAGUACCCGCAGGAAGAGAAAACAACCGUGAUUCCGGGAGUAGUGGCGAGCGAAACCGGAUGAGGCCAAACCGUAUACGUGUGAGACCCGGCAGGGGUUGCGUGUGCGGGGUUGUGGGAUCUCUCUUCCACGGUCUGCCGGCCGUGGGACGAGUCAGAAACCGUUGAUGUAGGCGAAGGACAUGCGAAAGGUCCGGCGUAGAGGGUAAGACCCCCGUAGUCGAAACGUCAGCGGCUCGUUUGAGAGACACCCAAGUAGCACGGGGCCCGAGAAAUCCCGUGUGAAUCUGGCGGGACCACCCGCUAAGCCUAAAUAUUCCCUGGUGACCGAUAGCGGAUAGUACCGUGAGGGAAUGGUGAAAAGUACCCCGGGAGGGGAGUGAAAUAGUACCUGAAACCGUGUGCCUACAAGCCGUGGGAGCGUCGGAAUGGAGCUUGCUUCAUUCUCGUGACUGCGUGCCUUUUGAAGAAUGAGCCUGCGAGUUUGCGGUGUGUUGCGAGGUUAACCCGUGUGGGGAAGCCGUAGCGAAAGCGAGUCCGAAUAGGGCGUUUCAGUAGCACGCUCAAGACCCGAAGCGGAGUGAUCUAGCCAUGGGCAGGUUGAAGCGGAGGUAAGACUUCGUGGAGGACCGAACCCACCAGGGUUGAAAACCUGGGGGAUGACCUGUGGUUAGGGGUGAAAGGCCAAUCAAACUCCGUGAUAGCUGGUUCUCCCCGAAAUGCAUUUAGGUGCAGCGUCGUGUGUUUCUUGCCGGAGGUAGAGCACUGGAUAGGCGAUGGGCCCUACCGGGUUACUGACCUUAGCCAAACUCCGAAUGCCGGUAAGUGAGAGCGCGGCAGUGAGACUGUGGGGGAUAAGCUCCAUGGUCGAGAGGGAAACAGCCCAGAGCAUCGACUAAGGCCCCUAAGCGUACGCUAAGUGGGAAAGGAUGUGGAGUCGCACAGACAACCAGGAGGUUGGCUUAGAAGCAGCCACCCUUGAAAGAGUGCGUAAUAGCUCACUGGUCUAGUGAUUCCGCGCCGACAAUGUAGCGGGGCUCAAGCGUACCGCCGAAGUCGUGUCAUUGCGAUAUGUACCCCCAACGGGGAUCGUGAUGGGUAGGGGAGCGUCGUCUGCCGGGUGAAGCAGCCGCGUAAGCGAGUUGUGGACGGUUGACGAGUGAGAAUGCAGGCAUGAGUAGCGAUACAAACGUGAGAAACGUUUGCGCCGAUUGACUAAGGGUUCCUGGGUCAAGCUGAUCUGCCCAGGGUAAGUCGGGACCUAAGGCGAGGCCGACAGGCGUAGUCGAUGGAUAACCGGUUGAUAUUCCGGUACCCGCUGUGAAGCGUCAAACAUCGAAUCCAGUGAUGCUAAGCCCGUGAAGCCGCCCUGCCUCAGCUUUGCUGUGGUGGGGAGUGGUGGAGCCGGUGACCCGAGCUGGUAGUAGGUGAGUGAUGGGGUGACGCAGGAAGGUAGUCCAUCCCGGGCGGUGGUUGUCCCGGGGUAAGGGUGUAGGACGCGAGGUAGGCAAAUCCGCCUUGCACAUAGUCUGAGACCUGAUGCCGAGCCGAUUGUGGUGAAGUGGAUGAUCCUAUGCUGUCGAGAAAAGCCUCUAGCGAGUUUCAUGGCGGCCCGUACCCUAAACCGACUCAGGUGGUCAGGUAGAGAAUACCGAGGCGUUCGGGUGAACUAUGGUUAAGGAACUCGGCAAAAUGCCCCCGUAACUUCGGGAGAAGGGGGGCCACAACCGGUGAUGAGCUUCGCGCUCUGAGCUGGGGGUGGCCGCAGAGACCAGCGAGAAGCGACUGUUUACUAAAAACACAGGUCCGUGCGAAGCCGUAAGGCGAUGUAUACGGACUGACGCCUGCCCGGUGCUGGAACGUUAAGGGGACCGGUUAGCUCACUUUCGGGUGGGCGAAGCUGAGAACUUAAGCGCCAGUAAACGGCGGUGGUAACUAUAACCAUCCUAAGGUAGCGAAAUUCCUUGUCGGGUAAGUUCCGACCUGCACGAAUGGCGUAACGACUUCUCGACUGUCUCAACCAUAGGCCCGGUGAAAUUGCACUACGAGUAAAGAUGCUCGUUUCGCGCAGCAGGACGGAAAGACCCCGGGACCUUUACUACAGUUUGAUAUUGGUGUUCGGUUCGGCUUGUGUAGGAUAGCUGGGAGACUGUGAAGCUUGGACGCCAGUUCAGGUGGAGUCGUCGUUGAAAUACCAGUCUGGUCGUGCUGGAUGUCUAACCUGGGUCCGUGAUCCGGAUCAGGGACAGUGUCUGAUGGGUAGUUUAACUGGGGCGGUUGCCUCCUAAAGGGUAACGGAGGCGCCCAAAGGUUCCCUCAGCCUGGUUGGCAAUCAGGUGUUGAGUGUAAGUGCACAAGGGAGCUUGACUGUGAGACCGACGGGUCGAGCAGGGACGAAAGUCGGGACUAGUGAUCCGGCGGUGGCUUGUGGAAGCGCCGUCGCUCAACGGAUAAAAGGUACCCCGGGGAUAACAGGCUGAUCUUCCCCAAGAGUCCAUAUCGACGGGAUGGUUUGGCACCUCGAUGUCGGCUCGUCGCAUCCUGGGGCUGGAGUCGGUCCCAAGGGUUGGGCUGUUCGCCCAUUAAAGCGGUACGCGAGCUGGGUUUAGAACGUCGUGAGACAGUUCGGUCCCUAUCCGCUGUGCGCGUAGGAGUCUUGAGAAGGGCUGUCCCUAGUACGAGAGGACCGGGACGGACGAACCUCUGGUGUGCCAGUUGUUCUGCCAAGGGCAUGGCUGGUUGGCUACGUUCGGGAGGGAUAACCGCUGAAAGCAUCUAAGCGGGAAGCCUGCUUCGAGAUGAGGACUCCCACCCACUUGAUGGGGUAAGGCUCCCAGUAGACGACUGGGUUGAUAGGCCGGAUAUGGAAGCACGGUAACGUGUGGAGUUGACCGGUACUAAUAGGCCGAGGGCUUGUCCUC